AUGUUCGCUAUGGUGGGGAACAGGAGGCUUACUAAAGAAACAGGUGAAAUCUGAAUUAUGUCUUUGUGUGGUGUGUACUUAUUUAAAUUUGUUGUUCUUAUAUUUAUUGUAAAUCAAACACAGAACUGGUGCUGUUAUUUUCCUUUUGUUAUACUCUAGAUCAAUUUGAAUCAGUCAUUAUCGUUAAUCUUCUUUUUGGGAUAUCUAUAUUACUUGAUUACUAGAAAUGGAAGAGACAAACAAGGAGUUCCAUGGGAGAGGCUUAACUUGACUAGAUAUCA
Molecule: long non-coding RNA, 281 nt
Filed under: Rosa chinensis
Lineage: Eukaryota; Viridiplantae; Streptophyta; Magnoliopsida; Rosales; Rosaceae
Description: sRNA RchiOBHm_Chr6g0257821
Source: RNAcentral